This 424-nucleotide ribosomal RNA is filed under the name uncultured prokaryote. RNAcentral describes it as "bacterial SSU rRNA". It matches the Rfam family "Bacterial small subunit ribosomal RNA", at positions 355 to 796 of the family's 1533-position model. The record is from RNAcentral.
UAGGGAAUAUUGGACAAUGGGCGAAAGCCUGAUCCAGCCAUGCCGCGUGAGUGAUGAAGGCCCUAGGGUUGUAAAGCUCUUUCAGUGGGGAAGAUAAUGACGGUACCCACACAAGAAGCCCCGGCUAACUUCGUGCCAGCAGCCGCGGUAAUACGAAGGGGGCUAGCGUUGUUCGGAAUUACUGGGCGUAAAGCGCGCGUAGGCGGACUGAUCAGUCAGGGGUGAAAUCCCGGGGCUCAACCCCGGAACUGCCUUUGAUACUAUCAGUCUAGAGUUCUGGAGAGGUGAGUGGAAUUCCGAGUGUAGAGGUGAAAUUCGUAGAUAUUCGGAGGAACACCAGUGGCGAAGGCGGCUCACUGGCCAGCAACUGACGCUGAGGUGCGAAAGCGUGGGGAGCAAACAGGAUUAGAUACCCGCGUAGUCC